AUUGAACGCUGGCGGCAGGCCUAACACAUGCAAGUCGAACGAGUGGCGGACGGGUGAGUAAUGUCUGGGCAACUGCCUGAUGGAGGGGGAUAACUACUGGAAACCGUAGCUAAUACCGCAUACCAUCAGAUGUGCCCAGAUGGGAUUAGCUGGUUGGUGUGGUAACGGCUGACAAAGGCGACGAUCCCUAGCUGGGCUGAGAGGAUGACCGGCAAAACUGGACCGGAGACACGGCCCAGACUCCUACGGGAGGAAGCAGUGGGGAAUAUUGGACAAUGGGCGAAAGCCUGAUGCAGCAAUGCCGCGGGUAUGAAGAAGGCCUUCGGGUUGUAAAGUACUUUCAGCGGGGAGGCGUUACCCGCAGAAGAAGCACCGGCUAACUCCGUGCCAGCAGCCGCGGUAAUUC
This 406-nucleotide ribosomal RNA is filed under the name uncultured bacterium. Its description in RNAcentral is "partial 16S ribosomal RNA". It matches the Rfam family "Bacterial small subunit ribosomal RNA", at positions 30 to 526 of the family's 1533-position model. The record is from RNAcentral.